UCUAACAUGGGUUUGUUGUCACCCACAAUCCAUAUUGCGGUGGGAUUGAGGGGGACUCUUCUGAGUAUUCAUGAGCCAGUGAAAAUGUUUUAGCAAUAGGUUGACCCUGAGGCAGUUGGUAUGCUUCUGAAGAGGUAGCAGAGCUCUGGUUCAGCCUCCUUCCCCCCCACCACCAGGCCGAACAAGGCCGUGGAGUUUGGGGGUUGGGGGAAGCGGGGCUGGUUGGGCCAGGCUGGUUCCCCAGCUCAGCUGCAGUUUCUGCCGCUGCUGCAUUUCACCAGAGACUGCCAAGUAAGGAGAGACCAUCCCAGACAGCUCCAGCCACUGCUCCAGCAGAGAUCAAAGAACCAGCCACAAGGCCUAGACAAGACUUUAACCCUUUCAUUACCCAGUGGUGGGCUUCAGGGGACCCUCACCACCAAGAAGGCUAGAUAGAGGGGAGCAACGAGAUGUCUUUGGGAUCCUCAGAAGGGUGAUAAUGCCUGUCAUUCUCUCCCCGUGUUCCCAUCCCCCCAUGAGCACCUCUUUUUCUAUUUCUUUCUGUCUUUCUUUUCCCUUUCUUUCCCUUCGCCUUUUUCACUAUUAAAUAAAAAAUAC
Non-coding RNA from Cyanistes caeruleus (blue tit), 597 nucleotides. The record is from RefSeq and is a predicted model, not a curated record. Lineage: Eukaryota; Metazoa; Chordata; Aves; Passeriformes; Paridae.